This 345-nucleotide unclassified non-coding RNA is filed under the name soil metagenome. Its description in RNAcentral is "partial contains 5.8S ribosomal RNA, internal transcribed spacer 2, and large subunit ribosomal RNA". The stretch from base 1 to 120 matches the Rfam family "5.8S ribosomal RNA", at positions 35 to 154 of the family's 154-position model. The record is from RNAcentral.
GAUGAAGAACGCAGUGAAAUGCGAUAGGUAGUGUGAAUUGCAGAAUUACGUGAAUCAUCGAAUCUUUGAACGCAAAUUGCACUUUCUGGUAUUCCGGGGGGCAUGCCUGUCCGAGCGUCAUUGCUGCCCUCAAGCACGGCUUGUGUGUUGGGCCUCCGUCCUCCUCCCGGGGGACGGGCCCGAAAGGCAGCGGCGGCACCGCGUCCGGUCCUCGAGCGUAUGGGGCUUCGUCACCCGCUCUUGUAGGCCCGGCCGGCGCUUGCCGACACAUCAAUCUUUUUUCCAGGUUGACCUCGGAUCAGGUAGGGAUACCCGCUGAACUUAAGCAUAUCAAUAAGCGGAGGA